RNAcentral lists this ribosomal RNA (433 nucleotides) under uncultured bacterium. Its description in RNAcentral is "partial 16S ribosomal RNA". It matches the Rfam family "Bacterial small subunit ribosomal RNA", at positions 29 to 507 of the family's 1533-position model. The record is from RNAcentral.
AGCGAACGCUGGCGGCAGGCUUAACACAUGCAAGUCGAGCGGGCACUUCGGUGUCAGCGGCAGACGGGUGCGUAACACGUGGGAACGUACCCUUCGGUUCGGAAUAACGCUGGGAAACUAGCGCUAAUACCGGAUACGCCCUUUUGGGGAAAGGUUUACUGCCGAAGGAUCGGCCCGCGUCUGAUUAGCUAGUUGGUGGGGUAAUGGCCUACCAAGGCGACGAUCAGUAGCUGGUCUGAGAGGAUGAUCAGCCACACUGGGACUGAGACACGGCCCAGACUCCUACGGGAGGCAGCAGUGGGGAAUAUUGGACAAUGGGCGCAAGCCUGAUCCAGCCAUGCCGCGUGAGUGAUGAAGGCCUUAGGGUUGUAAAGCUCUUUUGUCCGGGACGAUAAUGACGGUACCGGAAGAAUAAGCCCCGGCUAACUUCGUG